Molecule: small nucleolar RNA, 144 nt
Organism: Syzygium oleosum
Lineage: Eukaryota; Viridiplantae; Streptophyta; Magnoliopsida; Myrtales; Myrtaceae
Product: small nucleolar RNA snoR111
Exons: 1
Source: RefSeq, a predicted model, not a curated record
AGGAUUCCGCGGUGGGAAGUGCUUCUCCCAUCGCGGAGGAGAACUGGUGGAGGGGGGCGAAAUCGAUUCGAAAAGUUGGCCGAGAAAUCGUUUCAUCCGCCCUUGUUUAUAUGGGUUGGCGGUAUGAUUGUUGCUCGUCUACAC